GACGAACGCUGGCGGCGUGCUUAACACAUGCAAGUCGAGCGGUAAGGCCCUUUCGGGGGUACACGAGCGGCGAACGGGUGAGUAACACGUGGGUGACCUGCCCUCAGCUCUGGGAUAAGCCUGGGAAACCGGGUCUAAUACCGGAUAUGACUCCAUGACGCAUGUUGUGGGGUGGAAAGCCUUGUGCGGCUGAGGAUGGGCCCGCGGCCUAUCAGCUUGUUGGUGGGGUGANGGCCUACCAAGGCGACGACGGGUAGCCGGCCUGAGAGGGCGACCGGCCACACUGGGACUGAGACACGGCCCAGACUCCUACGGGAGGCAGCAGUGGGGAAUCUUGCGCAAUGGGCGAAAGCCUGACGCAGCGACGCCGCGUGAGGGAUGACGGCCUGGU
RNAcentral lists this ribosomal RNA (391 nucleotides) under uncultured bacterium. RNAcentral describes it as "bacterial SSU rRNA". It matches the Rfam family "Bacterial small subunit ribosomal RNA", at positions 28 to 420 of the family's 1533-position model. The record is from RNAcentral.